This 470-nucleotide ribosomal RNA is filed under the name Cupriavidus necator. Its description in RNAcentral is "bacterial SSU rRNA". It matches the Rfam family "Bacterial small subunit ribosomal RNA", at positions 836 to 1305 of the family's 1533-position model. Lineage: Bacteria; Pseudomonadati; Pseudomonadota; Betaproteobacteria; Burkholderiales; Burkholderiaceae. The record is from RNAcentral.
GGGCUUAGUAGCGUAGCUAACGCGUGAAGUUGACCGCCUGGGGAGUACGGUCGCAAGAUUAAAACUCAAAGGAAUUGACGGGGACCCGCACAAGCGGUGGAUGAUGUGGAUUAAUUCGAUGCAACGCGAAAAACCUUACCUACCCUUGACAUGUCUGGAAUCCUUUAGAGAUAGAGGAGUGCUCGCAAGAGAACCGGAACACAGGUGCUGCAUGGCUGUCGUCAGCUCGCGUCGUGAGAUGUUGGGUUAAGUCCCGCAACGAGCGCAACCCUUGUCAUUAGUUGCCAGCAUUUAGUUGGGCACUCUAAUGAGACUGCCGGUGACAAACCGGAGGAAGGUGGGGAUGACGUCAAGUCCUCAUGGCCCUUAUGGGUAGGGCUUCACACGUCAUACAAUGGUCGGGACAGAGGGUUGCCAAACCGCAAGGUGGAGCCAAUCUCAGAAACCCGAUCGUAGUCCGGAUUGCAGGC